AUUGAACGCUGGCGGCAUGCCUUACACAUGCAAGUCGAACGGCAGCGGACCUUCGGGUGCCGGCGAGUGGCGAACGGGUGAGUAAUAUAUCGGAACGUACCUUUCAGUGGGGGAUAACGUAGCGAAAGUUACGCUAAUACCGCAUAUUCUGUGAGCAGGAAAGCAGGGGAUCGCAAGACCUUGCGCUGAUUGAGCGGCCGAUAUCAGAUUAGCUAGUUGGUGAGGUAAAGGCUCACCAAGGCGACGAUCUGUAGCGGGUCUGAGAGGAUGAUCCGCCACACUGGAACUGAGACACGGUCCAGACUCCUACGGGAGGCAGCAGUGGGGAAUUUUGGACAAUGGGCGCAAGCCUGAUCCAGCCAUGCCNCGUGAGUGAAGAAGGCC
Molecule: ribosomal RNA, 384 nt
Filed under: uncultured bacterium
Lineage: Bacteria
Description: bacterial SSU rRNA
Rfam family: Bacterial small subunit ribosomal RNA
Source: RNAcentral